UACGUAUGGUGCAAUCGUUAUCCGGAUUUACUGGGUGUAAAGGGAGCGCAGGCGGCACGGCAAGCCUGAUGUGAAAGCCCGCGGCCCAACCGCGGGACUGCAUUGGGAACUACCGGGCUGGAGUGCCGGAGAGGUAGGCGGAAUUCCUAGUGUAGCGGUGAAAUGCGUAGAUAUUAGGAGGAACACCAGUGGCGAAGGCGGCCUACUGGACGGUGACUGACGCUGAGGCUCGAAAGCGUGGGGAGCAAACAGG
This 253-nucleotide ribosomal RNA is filed under the name uncultured bacterium. Its description in RNAcentral is "partial 16S ribosomal RNA". It matches the Rfam family "Bacterial small subunit ribosomal RNA", at positions 524 to 776 of the family's 1533-position model. The record is from RNAcentral.